AUGUACCACGCGUACAUUCCGGUUCCUGCGCGCCGUCCGCACCCACCUGAGGACUGCUCGCUCUGUUUUGUCGGUC
Molecule: small RNA, 76 nt
Filed under: Xanthomonas arboricola
Lineage: Bacteria; Pseudomonadati; Pseudomonadota; Gammaproteobacteria; Lysobacterales; Lysobacteraceae
Also listed under: 2 other names
Description: sX9 sRNA
Rfam family: Xanthomonas sRNA sX9
Source: RNAcentral